RNAcentral lists this ribosomal RNA (468 nucleotides) under uncultured bacterium. RNAcentral's name for it is "partial 16S ribosomal RNA". It matches the Rfam family "Bacterial small subunit ribosomal RNA", at positions 28 to 507 of the family's 1533-position model. The record is from RNAcentral.
GACGAACGCUGGCGGCGUGCUUAACACAUGCAAGUCGAACGGAAAGGCCCUGCUUUUGUGGGGUGCUCGAGUGGCGAACGGGUGAGUAACACGUGAGUAACCUGCCCUUGACUUUGGGAUAACUUCAGGAAACUGGGGCUAAUACCGGAUAGGAGCUCCUGCUGCAUGGUGGGGGUUGGAAAGUUUCGGCGGUUGGGGAUGGACUCGCGGCUUAUCAGCUUGUUGGUGGGGUAGUGGCUUACCAAGGCUUUGACAGGUAGCCGGCCUGAGGGGGUGACCGGCCACAUUGGGACUGAGAUACGGCCCAGACUCCUACGGGAGGAAGCAGUGGGGAAGAUUGCACAACGGGCGGAAGCCUGAUGCAGCAACGCCGCGUGCGGGAUGACGGCCUUCGGGUUGUAAACCGCUUUCGCCUGUGACGAAGCGUGAGUGACGGUAAUGGGUAAAGAAGCACCGGCUAACUACGUG